GUUACUAUUGUUAUUAUACUCAUCAUUUAAGAAACUUCAAAUUGACUUAGUUGAAUAGUCCAUUUAACUCAACCAUCUCUCAAGGUGAUGCUAGGGCUAGUCUAUAAGAUUCUGCUCUUGAAAGAUUAGCAUCUGUGUAAAUAGAACCUGAGAAAUUACACCCCAGUAUAUAUUAUGUAGAAAUAAAACUUAUAGCUACUAUUUAUGUAAACAUUGAGGAAUUUUAUUAGAUGACCUGAGUUUUCACUAUUAGGAAGAAAAAGGUAGAAGAAAAGGGUAGAGGCACUUUAAGUGGGGGAAAGAUUCAGUAGGAAGCCCUAAACACAGAACUCUAUGUGCUGUGGACCACAAACAGGCCUGACUGCUUAAAACAAAGAAGUUGGUCCAGAAUGUACUAGGAUGUGGGCAAUUAGGUAAUGAGGUGAUGAAUGGAAAAUAAAUAAAAAGUUAUAGCUGAUAAUAAAAGUAUGUGCAAAGGUGUAUGAUUUUGUGCAUUGAUUUACCAUUUCUCCCUGCUGUUUUCAUCUACUGGGGAACUCAAAGAUGAGCAACCUUCUUUCUGGAGGUGGCUAUGACAGACCAUUUUGCAAGCACUUGAAGUCUUUAAGGAAAUACAAACAUCUUGUGACCUGGAACAGUCAUGUGGGAUUCUGACUCACACUGGGAAUCUGGGUGAUGCUGCUGCUCAGGACCAGAUCAUAAACAUCUGACUGCCCUACUUGAUGGGUCCUUGGCAGGCUAAGUUGUCAACAGGCCCCAUGGAGAAAAAAUCAUAUUCAUCAGAAAACGUCUAAGGUCUACAUGGAAAAGGAAGUCUUUUGGAAAGAAAACAAGGUAGCUGCUUUCCUGUGGCCCCUGAAAUGUGACUCCUUCAUAAAAUCAAAAUUUAUGAUUAUUCAAAUGUUGGGGACUGUGAAAAGAGAGGAAGAAAGAGAGAAAAUUAAUAUUGCAGCUGUUCUUCUGAUUAAUGAGAGAUAAUUGCUCAUGAAAAGUCACCCCUGUGGCAUUUUGUUGUCUCCUGGAUCUUUGUUCUUUUCCACUAUUAUUGAGGACUUUCUUGAAGACUAAGCGGUUCUUUUCAAUUUUGGGGUAUUCAGAAAGGGUUGCCUGGUUACAGAGAAUGGGGAAAUCUCGGGCUAUAUCGGGUAAGAUGUGCCACAGACAGCAAUAUCACAAUGCCACUCGGAGAAAAGGAUGGAUACAAGUUAACGAUGCGCUUUCAAUAAAACAUUCAUAGACUUGUUCA
Molecule: long non-coding RNA, 1246 nt
Organism: Bos indicus x Bos taurus (hybrid cattle)
Lineage: Eukaryota; Metazoa; Chordata; Mammalia; Artiodactyla; Bovidae
Source: Ensembl